RNAcentral lists this ribosomal RNA (668 nucleotides) under Rhizobium cauense. Its description in RNAcentral is "bacterial SSU rRNA". It matches the Rfam family "Bacterial small subunit ribosomal RNA", at positions 98 to 801 of the family's 1533-position model. Lineage: Bacteria; Pseudomonadati; Pseudomonadota; Alphaproteobacteria; Hyphomicrobiales; Rhizobiaceae. The record is from RNAcentral.
GCAGACGGGUGAGUAACGCGUGGGAACGUACCCUUUUCUACGGAAUAACCCAGGGAAACUUGGACUAAUACCGUAUGUGCCCUUCGGGGGAAAGAUUUAUCGGAAAAGGAUCGGCCCGCGUUGGAUUAGCUAGUUGGUGGGGUAAAGGCCUACCAAGGCGACGAUCCAUAGCUGGUCUGAGAGGAUGAUCAGCCACAUUGGGACUGAGACACGGCCCAAACUCCUACGGGAGGCAGCAGUGGGGAAUAUUGGACAAUGGGCGCAAGCCUGAUCCAGCCAUGCCGCGUGAGUGAUGAAGGCCCUAGGGUUGUAAAGCUCUUUCACCGGUGAAGAUAAUGACGGUAACCGGAGAAGAAGCCCCGGCUAACUUCGUGCCAGCAGCCGCGGUAAUACGAAGGGGGCUAGCGUUGUUCGGAUUUACUGGGCGUAAAGCGCACGUAGGCGGAUCGAUCAGUCAGGGGUGAAAUCCCAGAGCUCAACUCUGGAACUGCCUUUGAUACUGUCGAUCUGGAGUAUGGAAGAGGUGAGUGGAAUUCCGAGUGUAGAGGUGAAAUUCGUAGAUAUUCGGAGGAACACCAGUGGCGAAGGCGGCUCACUGGUCCAUUACUGACGCUGAGGUGCGAAAGCGUGGGGAGCAGACAGGAUUAGAUACCCUGGUAGUCCACGCC